GUUUUUCCGACAAAAGCGACAACACGACCAAUAGCUUUGAGACCGUCUCACGGACUGAUGAUAGACCCAGUCGCAGUCGCAGCUUCAGUUUUCGAUUUCCUAAUAACGAAAAGCUAAGAAAAGAGCAGCAGCUCAGCUCAGAAACAUAACAGAAGGAAAAAACGCAAAAUAGACGACGUCUUCGGCGAGUGUAUGGGUGCUCUGAAUGAAUACACAACGAUAAAAGACCGAUCCCCGAUCCACCAGUGAUGAUUCCCACUUCCACGCGAGACUCACAAUCCACAGCGUCGACAGCGACGCCAACUGCAUCAGCGACGCCAGCAGAGGCAGCGACCGAGGCAGAAGCAGGGGCCUAGGCAACGAUGCAAUAAAUCGAAGCUAAUACACUUCUUUCUUAAUGUAGAGCGAUCCAGCGAACGUGCUCACACAGAUACACGAACACAUGCAAAGAUGCUCUGGCCUAGACGAGUUUCGAACGGUAAAUGAGGGGCCGCCAGCCGAGCGAUCCGCGCGAUGCAUCCUGCCUGGUUUUACUCAAUGAAAAUUCCAAAAGCGCUAGACCUGCAUCCAAAAACUGGGUGGAGAUCUUCCGCCCCAACGACGAACAGAGAGCCGAUCUCAAGACCCGAACCCGAACCCGAACCAAAGCCGAUCUCGUGGCCGCUUCACUUGGGUUCCACAAAACGCCGAGAUACUGUAUCUGAAAAGUGAGCGUGAAGCAGUCGCCGCUGGAAGCUCGAGCGGGCCACAAGCGGACAACAUUCUAGUAACUUGGGGGGUGCACCUAAAGAAAAAGAGAUUACUUCUGGGUUGAAUGGGUCGAAUUUUAGUUGUAGGAAUGUAACUUUUGAAUUAAUUUU
Drosophila melanogaster (fruit fly) is the source of this 860-nucleotide non-coding RNA. The record is from Ensembl. NCBI's taxonomy places the organism in Eukaryota, Metazoa, Arthropoda, Insecta, Diptera, Drosophilidae.